UACGUAGGGUGCGAGCGUUAUUCGGAUUUACUGGGCGUAAAGCGUGUGUAGGUGGUAUCCUGCGUCCCCGAUUAAAGAUCCAAGCUCAACUUGGGGAGUGUUGGGGAUACGAGGAUACUAGAGGUUUGCAGGGGCAGAUGGAAUUCCUGGUGUAGCAGUGAAAUGCGUAGAUAUCAGGAAGAACACCGAUGGCGAAAGCAGUCUGCUGGGCAACACCUAACACUGAGACACGAAAGCGUGGGGAGCGAACGGG
This 253-nucleotide ribosomal RNA is filed under the name uncultured bacterium. RNAcentral's name for it is "partial 16S ribosomal RNA". It matches the Rfam family "Bacterial small subunit ribosomal RNA", at positions 524 to 776 of the family's 1533-position model. The record is from RNAcentral.